Meleagris gallopavo (turkey) is the source of this 679-nucleotide non-coding RNA. The record is from RefSeq and is a predicted model, not a curated record. NCBI's taxonomy places the organism in Eukaryota, Metazoa, Chordata, Aves, Galliformes, Phasianidae.
CCCACUGUGACAUACCACUGCUUAGCUUGCAUCAGCAUCAGGAGGAGGUGGGCAGGCUGAUGGGCAUCAGGAAGCUGAAGAAGGAAAUGUGUGGAUUGGAGAGUUGAGUGGGGAGGAGCCUGAUGAAAUUCAGCAAGGGGAACCGUCUUAAACCCAGGGCAAGAAACGUAAAGUCAUUUGGCUGUCCCUUAUCUCUAAGGGCACCUGAUGCAUAAGUGGACUAGAGAAAGGAAAGAAAGAAAAACCUCCAAAGACCUACAGAUCAUCUUGCUGGCAGGAGAUACAUAUCUCAGCAGAGUGUGGAGCAUUUCCUCCAGUUUAUAGCAAGCCAAUCCAUUGGAUUCAAGUGUUCUGUCUACAGAUAAUUUACUUUUCAACAAGAUAAUGAAAAUCCAAACAUAUGACUGAAAUGGAAGAAAAUCCAACUCAAACCUGAAGAUUACCUGGGAGAAAUCCAAAUAGUGUCUUGUGUCUCUGCAAAAGGCAACAAUAAAAAUGUUGCAUUCCUCCGUUAGGAUAGCCAAAAGUCACUCUGAGCAUGUACUUCCACUGUGUUCAAUAUUGCUCAUCUUUGCACUCUACACAGUGGCAAGGUUCUUCUCUGCUUCUGUAUUCUGUGCCUAAACUGAAUGAAACUGAAUGAGUAUAAUGAACUCAUUUUCCCCAUAACACAAACCUA